RNAcentral lists this ribosomal RNA (253 nucleotides) under uncultured bacterium. RNAcentral's name for it is "partial 16S ribosomal RNA". It matches the Rfam family "Bacterial small subunit ribosomal RNA", at positions 524 to 776 of the family's 1533-position model. The record is from RNAcentral.
UACAGAGGGUGCGAGCGUUAAUCGGAAUUAUUGGGCGUAAAGGGCGCGUAGGUGGAUGGAUGAGUCUGAUGUGAAAGCCCUGGGCUUAACCUAGGAAUAGCAUUAGAUACUGUUUAUCUGGAGUGGAGUAGAGGGCAGCGGAAUUUCCGGUGUAGCGGUGAAAUGCGUAGAUAUCGGAAAGAACACCAGUGGCGAAGGCGGCUGUCUGGGCUCACACUGACACUGAGGCGCGAAAGCGUGGGGAGCGAACAGG